GAGGACGACGAGAGGUCACUCUCGUCGCCAUUUUGUUUUUGGUGGUUUUUGUCUGGCUUCUUUACCGCAACCUGUUUUAUCAGCAAAGUCUUUAUAACCUGUAUUUUGUGCUGACCUCCUAUCUCAUCCUGUGACUUAGAAUGCCUUAACAACUGUCUGGAAUGCAGCCCGGAUACAGAAAGAAGUCUGCUGUCUAAACCUAGGAAGAGGGCCCUGCCCAGAUACUGAAUAUGCCAGCACCUUGAUCGCGGACUCUCCAGCUUCCAGAACUAUAUUUCAUGAUUCUGAAGAAGAAUUGGAGGUGAGACUUGAGAAAAUGGAGAAAAAGAUAUGCUUUGGAUUUUCUUGAAGACUAGAAGCUUUCUUAACCAUCCACCACCUUGUUGACUGGUUAUUAUUCUCUCUACCUUCUGUGAAACAAACUGAUGGAUACUAAUGGCACAAUUACACUUAUAGCUAGUCAGUUGCAUAGUUUAUGCACAUAGUUCUGCUUCCAGUGUUUAGUAAUGAGUUAAACAUUUUGGCUAUAUUUGUCUCUGAAGCUAUAAUUUCAAUUAAUCAUUAUGUAUAGCAAUAAUAACAAGUAAAACAAAAAGAAGAAUUUUUUGUUUCUAUGGUAAUUAUGUUGGGUGCUUUGGAUCCUCCCAAUAAAGUUGACUUCCUAAAAUAAUUACACUUGAAUUAGGUAUAGAGAAGCUAAUUGUAACAAAUUGAAAGUUACUGUAAAUCUUCUAAUCGUAGUUCUCUGCAAGUGUACUUAAGUUAUUGCUCCACUUGAAAUAAAUGAAAACUGGAAAUCUGAGGUGAUGAAUUAUGGGUCCCUUUUAUGUAAGAAAGAUGACAAGGAAAUCUAAUCUGCUGAGUUAUACUAAAAUAAAAUACCUUGGCCUGGGAUCAAAUAUAGGUGAAAGAAUUAACAUUUAUGUUUUUUAAUUAAGAUAAAAUGUACAAGUUUUAUGUACAUAUUUUAUGAUUUCCUGAUAUAACAAAAAGUGUUGAUAAAAGCACCCAAUACUGAUUCUAAUGACAUUUGAUUAGCAUUAAAGAGUUGCUAUUAUUA
This is a long non-coding RNA of Homo sapiens (human), 1060 nucleotides long. Ensembl annotates it as long intergenic non-protein coding RNA 348. The record is from Ensembl. Lineage: Eukaryota; Metazoa; Chordata; Mammalia; Primates; Hominidae.